GACGAACGCUUGCGGCGUGCUUAACACAUGCAAGUCGAACGGAAAGGCCCUGCUUUUGUGGGGUGCUCGAGUGGCGAACGGGUGAGUAACACGUGAGUAACCUGCCCUUGACUUUGGGAUAACUUCAGGAAACUGGGGCUAAUACCGGAUAGGAGCUCCUGCUGCAUGGUGGGGGUUGGAAAGUUUCGGCGGUUGGGGAUGGACUCGCGGCUUAUCAGCUUGUUGGUGGGGUAGUGGCUUACCAAGGCUUUGACGGGUAGCCGGCCUGAGAGGGUGACCGGCCACAUUGGGACUGAGAUACGGCCCAGACUCCUACGGGAGGCAGCAGUGGGGAAUAUUGCACAAUGGGCGGAAGCCUGAUGCAGCAACGCCGCGUGCGGGAUGACGGCCUUCGGGUUGUAAACCGCUUUCGCCUGUGACGAAGCGUGAGUGACGGUAAUGGGUAAAGAAGCACCGGCUAACUACGUGCCAGCAGCCGCGGUGAUACGUAGGGUGCGAGCGUUGUCCGGAUUUAUUGGGCGUAAAGGGCUCGUAGGUGGUUGAUCGCGUCGGAAGUGUAAUCUUGGGGCUUAACCCUGAGCGUGCUUUCGAUACGGGUUGACUUGAGGAAGGUAGGGGAGAAUGGAAUUCCUGGUGGAGCGGUGGAAUGCGCAGAUAUCAGGAGGAACACCAGUGGCGAAGGCGGUUCUCUGGGCCUUUCCUGACGCUGAGGAGCGAAAGCGUGGGGAGCGAACAGGCUUAGAUACCCUGGUAGUCCGCGCUGUAAACGGUGGGUACUAGGUGUGGGGUCCAUUCCACGGGUUCCGUGCCGUAGCUAACGCUUUAAGUACCCCGCCUGGGGAGUACGGCCGCAAGGCUAAAACUCAAAGGAAUUGACGGGGCCCCGCACAAGCGGCGGAGCAUGCGGAUUAAUUCGAUGCAACGCGUAGAACCUUACCUGGGUUUGACAUGGAUCGGGAGUGCUCAGAGAUGGGUGUGCCUCUUUUGGGGUCGGUUCACAGGUGGUGCAUGCCUGUCGUCAGCUCGUGUCGUGAGAUGUUGGGUUAAGUCCCGCAACGAGCGCAACCCUUGUUCACUGUUGCCAGCACGUUAUGGUGGGGACUCAGUGGAGACCGCCGGGGUCAACUCGGAGGAAGGUGGGGAUGACGUCAAGUCCUCAUGCCCCUUAUGUCCAGGGCUUCACGCAUGCUACAAUGGCUGGUACAGAGAGUGGCGAGCCUGUGAGGGUGAGCGAAUCUCGGAAAGCCGGUCUCAGUUCGGAUUGGGGUCUGCAACUCGACCUCAUGAAGUCGGAGUCGCUAGUAAUCGCAGAUCAGCAACGCUGCGGUGAAUACGUUCCCGGG
This 1343-nucleotide ribosomal RNA is filed under the name uncultured bacterium. Its description in RNAcentral is "16S ribosomal RNA". It matches the Rfam family "Bacterial small subunit ribosomal RNA", at positions 28 to 1378 of the family's 1533-position model. The record is from RNAcentral.